CCUACGGGUGGCAGCAGUAGGGAAUAGUGCUCAAUGGGGGAAACCCUGAAGCAGCAACGCCGCGUGGAGGAUGAAGGUUUUAGGAUUGUAAACUCCUUUUGUGAGAGAAGAUAAUGACGGUAUCUCACGAAUAAGCACCGGCUAACUCCGUGCCAGCAGCCGCGGUAAUACGGAGGGUGCAAGCGUUACUCGGAAUCACUGGGCGUACCGAGUGCGCAGGCGGACUUGUAAGUCAGAUGUGAAAUCCUGUAGCUUAACUUCAGAACUGCAUUUGAAACUAUGAGUCUAGAGUGUGGGAGAGGUCGGUGGACUUCUUGUUGUAGGGGUAACAUCCGUAGAUAUCACGAGGACUCCUCAUUGCGAAGGUGACCUACUGGAACAUUACUGCCGCUCAUGCACGACAGCGUGUGGAGCAAACAGGAUUAGAUACCCCGGUAGUC
This 440-nucleotide ribosomal RNA is filed under the name uncultured bacterium. RNAcentral describes it as "partial 16S ribosomal RNA". It matches the Rfam family "Bacterial small subunit ribosomal RNA", at positions 338 to 795 of the family's 1533-position model. The record is from RNAcentral.